RNAcentral lists this unclassified non-coding RNA (373 nucleotides) under soil metagenome. Its description in RNAcentral is "partial contains 5.8S ribosomal RNA, internal transcribed spacer 2, and large subunit ribosomal RNA". The stretch from base 1 to 121 matches the Rfam family "5.8S ribosomal RNA", at positions 35 to 154 of the family's 154-position model. The record is from RNAcentral.
GAUGAAGAACGCAGCGAAAUGCGAUAAGUAAUGCGAAUUGCAGAAUUCCAGUGAGUCAUCGAAUCUUUGAACGCACAUUGCGCCCUUUGGUAUUCCGAAGGGCAUGCCUGUUCGAGCGUCAUUAUCACCCCUCAAGCCCUCGGCUUGGUGUUGGACGGUUUGGUGGAGGCCCCCUCGGGGGCUCCUGGCCCUCCCAAAGACAAUGACGGCGGCCUCGUUGGACCCCCGGUACACUGAGUUCUUCACGGGACACGUAUCGGACACAUGGGUUUACGGGACACGGUCUGCCUCCCCUCAGGGAGAAUCUUUCUAAGGUUGACCUCGGAUCAGGUAGGGAUACCCGCUGAACUUAAGCAUAUCAAUAAGCGGAGGA